UACCAUGCAAGUCGAACGGCAGCGCGGGGUAACCUGGCGGCGAGUGGCGAACGGGUGAGUAAUACAUCGGAACGUGCCCUGUGAUGGGGGAUAACUACGCGAAAGCGUAGCUAAUACCGCAUACGACCUACGGGUGAAAGUGGGGGAUCGCAAGACCUCACGUCAUAGGAGCGGCCGAUGGCGGAUUAGCUAGUUGGUGAGGUAAAGGCUUACCAAGGCAACGAUCCGUAGCUGGUCUGAGAGGACGACCAGCCACACUGGGACUGAGACACGGCCCAGACUCCUACGGGAGGCAGCAGUGGGGAAUCUUGGACAAUGGGGGCAACCCUGAUCCAGCAAUGCCGCGUGUGGGAUGAAGGCCUUCGGGUUGUAAACCACUUUUGGCGGGGGCGAAAUAUCGAGUGCUAAUACCAUUCGGUGAUGACGGUACCCGCAGAAUAAGCACCGGCUAACUACGUGCCAGCAGCCGCGGUAAUACGUAGGGUGCAAGCGUUAAUCGGAAUUACUGGGCGUAAAGCGUGCGCAGGCGGUUAGGUAAGACAGAUGUGAAAUUCCCGGGCUCAACCUGGGAACUGCAUUUGUGACUGCCUGACUAGAGUGCGGCAGAGGGGAGUGGAAUUCCGCGUGUAGCAGUGAAAUGCGUAGAUAUGCGGAGGAACACCGAUGGCGAAGGCAACUCCCUGGGCCUGCACUGACGCUCAUGCACGAAAGCGUGGGGGAGCAAACAGGAUUAGAUACCCUGGUAGUCCACGCCCUAAACGAUGUCGACUAGUUGUUGGGACGGGUUACUGUUCAGUAACGAAGCUAACGCGUGAAGUCGACCGCCUGGGGAGUACGGGCCGCAAGGUUAAAACUCAAAGGAAUUGACGGGGACCCGCACAAGCGGUGAUGAUGUGUU
This 898-nucleotide ribosomal RNA is filed under the name Thiomonas sp. Dg-B3. RNAcentral's name for it is "bacterial SSU rRNA". It matches the Rfam family "Bacterial small subunit ribosomal RNA", at positions 52 to 945 of the family's 1533-position model. Lineage: Bacteria; Pseudomonadati; Pseudomonadota; Betaproteobacteria; Burkholderiales. The record is from RNAcentral.